AUUGAAUGGUUUGUUUUAGCCUGAGCUAUGGAAAAUUAUAGCCGCAUAGCUUCUUGCUAAAACAAACCAGUCGAU
Molecule: microRNA precursor, 75 nt
Filed under: Caenorhabditis japonica
Lineage: Eukaryota; Metazoa; Nematoda; Chromadorea; Rhabditida; Rhabditidae
Description: mir-355 microRNA precursor family
Rfam family: mir-355 microRNA precursor family
Source: Rfam by way of RNAcentral